Mastomys coucha (southern multimammate mouse) is the source of this 4307-nucleotide long non-coding RNA. RefSeq lists it as uncharacterized. The transcript is spliced from 3 exons. NCBI's taxonomy places the organism in Eukaryota, Metazoa, Chordata, Mammalia, Rodentia, Muridae. The record is from RefSeq and is a predicted model, not a curated record.
CUCGUACUCGUCGUCCUCCGGGAUGCGGAAGGGGCUGGCGGGCAGGCUGCCCAAGCUGCCUCCCAGCGCGCAGGCGCCGCGCCGCGGCCCGGGCCCCGCCGCUGGCCAGGAUCUACUGAGCCAGCUGCAGUUCUAAUCCCAGGAGACCAGUUAACCUUUCUGGGACCUUGUUUGGGUUGGCAAUGCCAGCUUUCUAGCCAAGGCUUGUUUCUUGCUGCCUCCCUCCACCCAGCUUGCUGCUUCCUGGGACAACUUGUUUCUGAUCCUGCAGUGUUCCACCCUGCACUCCUGCCUUUUCGGAUCUUUUCUUCUUAGGACUGAGCCUGAAUGCUGCUUCUGAGAGAGAGCUCUUCUGCCCUCCAGCUGAGGAUAGGUGCUUAAGAAAUGUACCUUGGUGGUCCCAUGUAGCGGAGCUAGAGAGGGCUCUGUGGACUCCAGGAUAGUCAGGGACGUAUAGUAAGACCGUGCGUUAAAACCAAACAGCGACAAAAAGCCCCAAACCAAAAAUGCGUCGGCACCACUUGUUUGGGGCACUGGUCAUAGGCCUACUCAUGUUCUGGUCAUAGGUGGGACUGAUGAAGACCUAUUGCCUUCAGGAAUGAGUAAGUGCUGUGGGCAUCAGAACAGGUGGCUUCUUUCCCUAGUUCAUGGACUCUACUUUCUUGGGCCCAGUCCCACCUUCUCCUUACUUCCCAGCCUUUCUGGUUCUGGUCCCAUCUCAAAUGAGGUCAGCAGGACCUUUGAUCCCAUCUGUAGGGCAGCAGGAGUCCAGACCCAGAGACUCAGCCCCUGAAAUGGUGGCUCUGCCUAGGCCCAGUUCCUAGAUCUGAACAAAUGUCUCGCCACCCCACUCUACAGCCCUCAUUGUUUCCAUACUAUCUGAAGCUUGCCAUCAAGGUUUUAUGGAGGCUUCUGAAUCUCAUGUGUCUUUAGCUUUUGCCCAGUCUUCCUGACCCUGACUUUCUGCUCUGAGCAGUCUGGGCUGCUCUCUCUAGCUUGUCUUUGAGUUUGCCCUCUUCUUCAUGACCUUCCCAGUUCUGGCCCUAGCUGCCCUGAGAGAGCCUAAUCUCUUCUCCUCUGUGCUCCUUUGUAGUCCUUCCAGUGUGGGUGUGCACAGUGCCAUUGAGGCACCCGUUUGUCCUGAGAAUGUAGCCUUCCCUGCACAUCUUCCCAGCAUGGCCCAGGACUUCUCAUCCACCAGCACCCCCUGCCCCAUCUACUCCAGGAGCCUGCAAAGGAAGCUGGGAGCUCCAGUGAGGCCACUGGUCCUUUGAGGUUCACACUAGGAUCAUCAUCAAUUUGCCCAAGGCCCUACCGUUGAUGGUAGAGUUGGGUUUGAACCAAGACUCUUCCCGUGUCUGUCCCUUGGUGCUACAGCUGCAGAGGCCCAGAAACUGUUCGGGACAGGAAGCUGUAGGCACUCAUGCUGAGCAUGGUGGGUUCGGGGAGGAAGUAUAUUCUAACAGAAGCUUUGGAGGCCAUCCCCCACUAGCUUGGCUUGUUCUCGGCUUGAGCAUGUAACACUCACUUGGUCUUGCAGUAGGCGACCACACAGACGAUGCCCACAACUAGCAGAGCCACGCAGAUGCCAGUAAUUGUCAGGACUCUCUUCUGGUACAGCUCCUCAGCCUCUGCAGGGGCAGAUCAGGAACAGAGCCCAUGAAGAUGCGUGUACACAGCCUCCCUAUUCCCCAGCCUCGGGCUCCCUCAGUGCGGGAUAUGUCCACCUCCUUCCAUCCCUUCCCCCUUGCCUGUUCACAGACUGCCUUUGCCUCCCUUCAGGAAACUUCCGCUCCCCCUGGUCACCACCUCCCCUAAAACCCAUACCUGCCCAAUGCACAUGAGUGGAAAAUGCAGGGGAAGGGAGAGGAUGGAGUAGGGGGUGAAGUUCCAAGGCCACAGUAGAGGGGAGGCAACACCUUGACCAGUAGCCCUGCCCUGCUCCAUGGUGGCCCUGCAGAGAGUUGUUCUUCAUGACAAUGAACCUAGGGUGAAGGCCCUUCUCAGGCAUCCCAGCUUCUCUAAAAAGGGCUAAUGACAAGGUGUCAGACCCAGAUUGAGGAAGGAUGCUAGCUAGGCCAGGAGCAGGAACACAGCAAACUGGGGCUACAGCGGGGUGUGGGAAGGAAGGCCUUUUUCCCACAGCCUGGUCAGGGUAGUGCCUUGGCCCUCUGCACCUCGUCUGCUGGUGAGAAACCUACUGUGGCAGCACAGAUUGACAUUUAGGAAUGUCCUUGUACACAAGGAACAGGCCCCAUUUUUAUUACAGGCUGGGAGAGGCUGGGCAUGUCUACCCUCUGUGCCUGGUCUGGCCAGCGCUGCCCCUCUAAAACAGAAAGCCAGGAGGAAGACAAAGAAAAGGUGACAGCACUGGCUACAGCCCACCCCACUCCCAGCUGCUGGCUGGCACUGCCACCUUCCCCUGCUCCCAGCUCAGUGAUAAGUAGAGGCAGACCCUCCAUGAUUGGCAGAGUUCUGAGAAAUGCCCCAGUCCCUCAGAUUUAGACCACCUCCUAUGUACGCCAGCAACCUCAGAACUACAAACCCUCUAGACACUCACACACCCAAAGCUAUGGCUUCCAGAGUCAGACAUGCCUUUCACACAGACACUCAUGCAUGUAUUGUCUAGACAGACUUUCUGUCUAUAUACAGACUGUCUGUAUGCAUUUCUAUCUCUUUCCCUGAUUUCUCCCUGCUUUCUGGUCAAUACCUAUGAGCCAUGCACAGCCAAACUACCAGCUUGCCAGACUAGCUUAGCUCUCUCCACACCUGCUUGCUCAUAUCAUUAGUGAGGCGUCUCUCCUGUUACUCCCUCUCUUCUCACCUCCACUGUCCGUCCAAAAGGCAUCUCAGUUCUGCUUUCCAAGUGAGUGGUGAAUCUGACCACAGUGAGCAUUUUCACCGCUGCCCAUGCAGUCCAGGAGGGGGCUCCCUCCACUAGAGAUGGUCACCCUCUGACAGGCCUUUCUGGUCUGCUUCUACUAACUCUGAUCCAUCCCCACUCUCCACACAUAACUAGUAACAAUGCAGCUCAUUCUAAUCUGCUGCUUAGAAACAUAGAAUAUAGCUUCUCAUUGCAAGUAUAAAAACCAAUGGCUUCCUGUGUCUUCCAGGCCGCUGUAUUACCAAGGCUUCACAUUCCAUUUGGAUCUUAUCUGUGGCCUGUAUGUAGUGCUUGGAGCUAGCUGCAGCAUCUCUUGACUACUGAAUGAGGCAAGCCUGCAUGUACUGUGUCCCAUGCCUUCGAUACUCUGAUACUCUUCCCCAGUUGUUUGGGGGGGCUGGCUACCAGAUGCACCAAGUAGGACAAACCUUUUUGUGAUCAUAAUUCACAGUAGCUCUCUACUGCAGCCAUGCCAAGCUCUGAGUUCCCUCACUUUUUUUCCUUCUGUAUCCCUUGUCAACAGUGUUUCCUGUUUGUUGCUGUCUCCCCUUGAAUGCAGUUCCAGGAGGGUGGGGGUGCUAAAUUUAGCAAGUUCUUAUGUUGAGUGGAUGUUUAUUGGGUAAGCAAGUGAGUGCACCCUCCCCCCUCACACAGACACACACCCAUACUCACCUCCCUGUGCAGGCAGUUUCAACCUCAAACGUCCUGGGCUUAACACAAAGACAUUCCACACUCUUUCUGUAUCCUUGAGUCCUGUCCUGAGACACCUGCUAGCUAGACAUUCCCAUCCUCCAUCCACACAUACCUGCAGAUCAUCCCUGUGCACCGCACCACAAAAACCAGCCUCCACCUCCUCUCCACUCAGUAUAGCCUGAGACCCAGACAGGCACUCACAUGCAUUCUUUGAGCUUUGCCUUCUACCGAGAGCAACCGAUAGGGACUAGGUGGUAGGGGAGCUAGGACCUCCCCAGGGAUGUCAUGAAAAACCCUUUCCAUAUAUGUAGUCUCCGAACCACGUCUGGUGUUCCACACCACCACUACCAUAGCAUUCCUGCCAAUCCUGAGCCCUCUACAUCUGUUGCUAAGCCACAUCUGGAUACUUGGAGUCUCCUUGCAUCAAGCCAGAGAGCUUACAACGCUAAUCUUCAAAGUCCCUUCCAGUCAGGUAGACAGGCUAAAGGGUCAGUGUUUGUGUCUUUGGUGGAGGUGGGUCCCGGAGGUAUCGAAUCACAUGUAAGCUUCUUGGGGGUAGGAGAAAGGGUAGGUAUGGAUUAGAUCCUUGGUGGUUUAGCCCAGAUUCAUACAUACAACAUGCCACUGUAGGGACAGAUCAUGGAAGGAGUGAAAGCCUCAAGCAGAUGGCAGAGUCUGGUAGACAGACACAAUGCAGGGACAGAAGCACAUAGGAAGUUGUCAGCUUCCA